GCAAAACGCGAAGAACCUUACCUAGGCUUGACAUGCAUCUCUAAGCACGUGAAAGCGUGUGACCCUUCGGGGAAUUUGCACAGGUGCUGCAUGGCCGUCGUCAGCUCGUGUCGUGAGAUGUUGGGUUAAGUCCCGCAACGAGCGCAACCCUUGUGACUAGUUGCCAGCACGUUAUGGUGGGAACUCUAGUCAGACUGCCCAGAUCAACUGGGAGGAAGGUGGGGACGACGUCAGGUCAGUAUGGCCCUUACGCCUAGGGCUGCACACGUACUACAAUGCCCAGCACAAUGAGAACCGAGACCGCGAGGUGGAGGAAAUCUAAAAAACUGGGCCCAGUUCGGAUUGGAGGCUGCAACUCGCCUCCAUGAAGUUGGAAUCGCUAGUAAUGGCGCAUCAUCUACGGCGCCGUGAAUACGUUCCCGGGUCUUGUACACACCG
This 438-nucleotide ribosomal RNA is filed under the name uncultured bacterium. RNAcentral's name for it is "bacterial SSU rRNA". It matches the Rfam family "Bacterial small subunit ribosomal RNA", at positions 954 to 1392 of the family's 1533-position model. The record is from RNAcentral.